UACGUAGGGUGCAAGCGUUAAUCGGAAUUACUGGGCGUAAAGCGUGCGCAGGCGGUUAUGUAAGACAGAUGUGAAAUGCCCGGGCUUAACCUGGGAACUGCAUUUGUGACUGCAUGGCUAGAAUCUGGCAGAGGGGGGUAGAAUUCCACGUGUAGCAGUGAAAUGCGUAGAUAUGCGGAGGAACACCGAUGGCGAAGGCAAUCCCCUGGACCUGUACUGACGCUCAU
RNAcentral lists this ribosomal RNA (227 nucleotides) under uncultured prokaryote. RNAcentral's name for it is "partial 16S ribosomal RNA". It matches the Rfam family "Bacterial small subunit ribosomal RNA", at positions 524 to 750 of the family's 1533-position model. The record is from RNAcentral.